RNAcentral lists this ribosomal RNA (368 nucleotides) under Bacillariophyceae sp. 2 AS-2014. RNAcentral describes it as "bacterial LSU rRNA". It matches the Rfam family "Bacterial large subunit ribosomal RNA", at positions 2098 to 2465 of the family's 2925-position model. Lineage: Eukaryota; Bacillariophyta; Bacillariophyceae. The record is from RNAcentral.
GCUUUACUGUAACUUGAAAUUGAAAUUGGACUUUACUUGCGCAGUAUAGGUGGGAGGCGUUGAGAAUAUUCUUGUGGGAAAAUUGGAGCCAUCAGUGAGAUACCACUCUKGUAAUGUUAGAUUUCUAACUUUGYACCAUUAUCUGGUCAAAGAACAGUUUCAGGCGGGCAGUUUGACUGGGGCGGUCGCCUCCUAAACGGUAACGGAGGCGCACAAAGGUUUCCUCUGAACGGGUAGAAAUCGUAUCUAGAGUGUAAAGGCAUAAGGAAGCUUGACUGUGAGACCUACAAGUCGAGCAGGGACGAAAGUCGGUCUUAGUGAUCUGACGGUGCUGAGUGGAAAGGCCGUCACUCAACGGAUAAAAGUUA